Molecule: long non-coding RNA, 1944 nt
Filed under: Astyanax mexicanus (Mexican tetra)
Lineage: Eukaryota; Metazoa; Chordata; Actinopteri; Characiformes; Acestrorhamphidae
Description: lncRNA (ENSAMXG00005004724.1)
Source: RNAcentral
GUGUACUGAAGCGGUGUGUAAUAUUGAAAGUUGAUGUUUUUACAGGUCUCUCUGCUGCCACCAGAAAAUCAUAAUGAUGACCACUCUGAGUGACGGGACAAAACUAGACCUCUCCAGACUGACCGAUGAGGAGGCCCGGCAUGUGUAUCAGGUGGUCCAGAGGGAUUUCAGCCUCCGCAAAAAAGAAGAGGAGAGACUGGGAGAUCUGAAGACUAAAAUUGUGAAAGAAGACAGUAAGAGAGAGCUGCUGGGCUACCAGUCCACCCUCAGCGACUCACUCUGUAUACACUGCUUACGACCAUUCAAGUUCCUGCUCAACACUAAACACCAGUGCCUGGACUGUAAGUUCUUUGUGUGUAAGGCCUGCAGCCGCUUCAACAAGAAGGAUAACGGCUGGGUGUGUGAUCCGUGCCAAUCAGCCAGACUUUUGAAAAUCGGAACGCUAGAAUGGUUCCAUGAAAAUGUACGUUCUCGAUUCAAGCGUUUCGGCAGUGCCAAAGUGAUGAAGUCGCUCUACAAGAGGCUUAGUGAAGAACGAACCUUUUCCCAACCAGACCUGAGAGAGGAUGACACCUACUGCCUGCCUGAUGUUCACAGACACUCUCUCUGCAGUCAGGAGGAUGAGCAGUCUGAUCACGUGGGCCGGGAUCACUACAGACUGAACAAGAAAGGCAAGCGGCUGCUCCUAGUCGACCCUCAGGACUUCAAACUUGGGACUGAUCACUCCAUCCACCCUUAUCGCCAUUCUUUUAAGAAUGAGCGGCCUGAUCCAGAGGAGGACUGGACUACCGUGUGUAGGCAGAUCCUUGAGCGUAGACGAGAUGGACUGGAGGAGAGGAAGAAGGGGAUUCACCACAGCAGCCGAAGCCUCGAUAAACCUUUCCACUUUGAUGACUGCACUUACCCUGAGAAUAAGAUGGUACGUGCUUGCUCCCUCUCGAAGAUGAGCCAUUCUUCAGCCGGCAGUGCUAAUUAUGGAGCGUUCCGCGAGCUUCCGUACAGCGUGGAGGACUCGGAGGAGGACGAUGCAGACAGUUACCAAAACUACCUGCCUUCUGAGCCACUGAACUGGGAAUACUCUCCAGAUGGGGUUCCACCACAGGUAUCUUGAUUAGUAAUGAGGUUGUUAAAAUGUUACAUUUGAAUAUAACCCAUGCUCUGUUUCCCAGACAAGGCUUAAGUCUAGUCGCAGACUUAAGACUGUUUGAAUGCUGUUUAAUGACUUUAGUUCAGCAUUUAACACCAUCAUCCCUCAACAUCUGAUCGGAAAACUGAGCUUGCUAAGCAUGAACUAUUCAACCACAGUCAGUCAGGAUUGGAAACAACACCUCCAGCAAGAUCAUACUGAGCACCGGCGCUCCCCAGAGCUGUGUGCUCAGUCCACUGCUGUUCACUCUGCUGUUCACUAAAGAACACCAUGUGCAGAGAACCUCACCUGGUUCCUCAACACCAGCUAUAUAGCCAUUCGAGCCUCCAUUACCAGACUCAAACUGUAAGAAACAGACUCCAUGAUGGUGUUAUGAGGGCCUGACGUCCACAGAUGGCUUGUGAUUACAACCCAACACUGUGCAGGACGCUUGGCAUUUGCCAGAGAACACCAGAAAUGGCAGAUUCACCAUUGGCGCCCAGUGCUCUUCACGGAUGAGAGCAGGUUCCCAGUGAGCAAAUGUGACAGACGUGGCAGAGUCUGGAGACGCCAUGGAGAGCGUUCUACUGCUGCAACAUCCUCCAGCGUGACCGGUUUGACAGUGGGUCAGUAAUGGUGUGGGGAGGAAUUUCUUUGGAGGGCCUCCAUGUGCUCGCCAGAGGUACCCUGACUGCCAUUAGGUACCGGGAUGAGAUCCUCAGACCCUCUGUGAGACCAUAUGCUGGUGCAGUGGGUCCUGGGUUCCUUCUGAUGCAGGACAGCGCUAGACCUCAUGUGGCUGAAGUGUGUCAGCAGUU